RNAcentral lists this ribosomal RNA (111 nucleotides) under Mustela putorius furo (domestic ferret). Lineage: Eukaryota; Metazoa; Chordata; Mammalia; Carnivora; Mustelidae. The record is from RNAcentral.
GUCUACGGCCAUACCACCCUGAACGCGCCCGAUCUCGUCUGAUCUCGGAAGCUAAGCAGGGUCGGGCCUGGUUAGUACUUGGAUGGGAGAAGACCAAAGUCAAUGUAAAGU